Long non-coding RNA from Hirundo rustica (Barn swallow), 1107 nucleotides. RefSeq lists it as uncharacterized. The transcript is spliced from 3 exons. NCBI's taxonomy places the organism in Eukaryota, Metazoa, Chordata, Aves, Passeriformes, Hirundinidae. The record is from RefSeq and is a predicted model, not a curated record.
GCGUGUUCCUUCUGCACAUGUCGCUCAGUGUGCACGACGUGGGUGCACCAAACGCACACACUCAUACACGCGUAUAUGUUUAUGUGUGCAUUGACACGGGUGCGCACGAGGAGUACUGAGGGGAGUUUCGUCUGUGGAAAGUCCUCUCGCAGAGCUUCCACGCGGGCAGAGGCAAAACAUUAAUUUACCAAGUCUGAGGCACCAUCUCCUCUGGAUCUACAGCAAAAAGCAAAGCAAAGGCGGAAAGCAGAGCAAAAGUCCUAAAUGAGGAGCUUUUCUUAGUACAAAAUGCAAACAGAGUCGUGGCUCCGGUAGUUGAGAAGCAUCUGGAAAUCGGUGAAGCCUGGUGAGAGAGCCUGCAACAGAUUAAGAAGGAACAGAGUGACUUUACAUAACAAUCCAGCCCCGCUCAUCUCUGGUUGUCAAAACCCUCGACACACUUCUCCAGAGAAGAGAGGGACUCCAGGCAGGGAGGAAGCAGUGAUUUCCCUGGGUGGGAGAGGAGCCCGCGUUGGCUCUGAAGGGUUGAGGCGCAAACCCCGUCACUCCAUGGGACUCAUCUUUCCGUCUGACAUCCAGGAGCUGGCUUACCGGGAAGGAAAUGCUGCCAGCUGCGUUCAGUUCCAGCGCUCUGGGGACCACGGGAGCGCUCCCAGGCUCGCAGGAGAGCCACGGCAAACGCAGGCAGAGCUGCCAUUUCCCCGAAAUGCCUGGAAAAGCAGCGGCUUGCCAAGGGUGGCACGAGGAGGCUCUCCUGGAAAGAGAGCCAUACGUGGUUAUUUAUCUGUUACAUUAGAGCUAACUGAGAUCCAGAGCCCGGGGAGCCGGGAUAAAGACAGGACUUGCCGCAAGCCCCUGUGAGCUGAAUAGAAAUCAUGGCUAAACAGGAGCACGGAAGAGACGGGGUUGUGUGAAGAGGCAUUGCCAGCAUCACACAGCGGGCAGUGCCACAGCCAGCGAGGCUUGGAGCAGUCUCUUCUGGCAGAUGGGUUUACUUGCAGCAAAUCAUCCAUUUUCAGAUUUUGCUGAUUUUACACAGUCUAAUUUUAAUAACAGAAGGAAAGAGUGAGACGUUUUUUCACAAAUCGCUCGUUCCUUUCCUUUUUU